GUCUUGUCUUUGGUACUUCUGCAGGUUUCACUCCUUUUGAGCCGAUCUUUGACGUCUCGUCACUUUGUUGAUCAAACCUGCAAUUAAGCACAACUUAUGAGCCUUUUGGGACUAUUUUGUAUGAAUUUAUAAUCAAAGCGUAAGCAAGAAGGAGCAUGAAACACGUCAAAAUCCCUAGUUAUCAACUCCCUCAAACUUAAGCUUUUGAUUGUCCUCAAGAAAACAAAAUAAGACCCACCCCUUAAGGGAAAAUCCAAAAAAUUUCAGAUAUCCUAAAGUAACCUCAACUAGCCUCAAUUGGGACUAACAAUUGCCCUCAAUACAAAUGAAUCAUUAACAACAUUUAACCUUUGCAAGACCAUGGAUCAAGUUUGACACAAGAGCAUCAAGAGUUAACUCAUUACAUCAAAGAACUCUAUCAAUUACUUUGGUCAUUAUGGAACCCAAACUCACACAUCCUUAACUCUCCCUAAGCAAACCUCACCUUUUAGAAUAUUGGCACACAAACCGAGGUUAAUGGGAAUUCACUCAUCUCUCUCAAGAAAAGGUCACAAGUCCGGCUCUAAGUACCAUAUGCUUGCCCCUUAUGUAAGUAUCCACUAAUGUAAGCUUCAUUUAACUCAAGAUCAUAUAGGGCUUUAGUGGAGUCAUUGUGAAGGCUUUUGGUUCAGGGUAGAAAAUGUUUUGAUCUAAGUGGGUUCCAUCUUCCCUUAAGCACUUCUUUUGAUUCAUUUGGAACACAUUCUCUUAACUCUUUGAGUCAUCUCACUUCUUUCUAAGGGGUUAGAGGGACAUGUUGUCACUCUUUCUUGUGCAAUUCAAAUCGUUUCUCCUUUUUCAACUUUCCACACCUUUCAUUCUUUUGCUUUUCUUGAAUCCCUUUUUAUUCUUUUUCACAUUGAGCAUUCUUUUUGUCUUUUUAUUUUCUUUUUUUUUUCAUUGCCUUUCCUUUUCUUUAUUUUUGUGACUUUUACCACUUUGUUGCCACCCUCAUAUCUCCCUUUAAACUUAUAAUUUUGCAAUGUGCUCAAGGAAAGAUUGGGUGCCAAGAGAGGGUAUCUUUUAGAACGGGUAUAUGCUUGUCUCAUGGUUCUUGAAAGAAAAGGGUCUAAGGCUCAAAAGGGUUGACUAGGGAUCAUAUCAUUGGUAGGCUAUGGAAUUUUUCAAGCUAUUAUUUGGAUCAAGGAGGGCCUAUAAUCAUGUAUCAAGUCAAAAUUCACUUAGGAUUUCGCCUCAACAAACAUUCGGGGCAAGUUCUAGACUAAUAGCUCGGGACUUGGAUUUGAAAUUCAAUUACUCACCACACAAGCUAAAGGAUCGCUAAAGACAUAGAGUCAGGGGCCCACAAUGACCUUAGAUACGAUUUGAGCACACAAUGGUCCCGAAUAACCACUUGAUGAUUAUCGGUCAACACAAGAGUCUCAAGGUCACGACUUUCACCAUCCUAAACACAACAUUUUGUCUUUGACCAUGGGAUCAAAGGCAAAUGUGCUAGGCCCAAGUGAAGCUUUGCUUGAGGUAUCCUUAACUAUAAACUACUAAAAACAAAAACAAAAAUGGACUCAAACCCUUAAGAAGGUUGUCACACUAUCCAUCGUUGGGAAGAGCCACCCGGUUCACACAACACUCCACCUUUGGAAAGAACCAUGGCAUUAAGAAAACCAAAGGCUUAUUGAAAAUGUCUAAAACAAAACAAAAGCUACGAACAUAAAUAAGAAGCUAAAAAUGAGAAAAUAUUUUUUUUGCGGAAAAUAGAAUGAAUAUAUACAAUAGGGAGUUUGAAUAUACAACGGGGAAUAAAUAUAUACAAUGAUGUAACCUUAUAUACAGACCCAAAGAAAGAUGCAAAUUCGAUAAAAGUAACUAAAUAUCAAAUUAUAUACAGACCAAAUGUGAAAAUCAAGAAAGCAUAAAAUGAAUCAAUAUAUACAGUCAUCCACUAAUGUAGGGCGCACCCCCUCAAAUAAAAGCUGGCAUUAUCCCUAAUUCCAACUAGUCCAAAUAAGCAUAAAAAAUAAAAAAAAGGAUAUGAAGACUCCGUAAGUCGUGUCUGUCUGCAUAUGCUCAUGGGUGGUCCCUAGGUCCUUUGUGUGCUCGGGAACCUCAGACUGGUUCCCGGUGUCCUGCUGUUCAGCUACUGGGACCUGGGCCUGGACCUGGAUAGGCUUUGGAUUUGGUAUAUCCUGUGGCUGACUGGAGGAAGCCUCCGGUGGGUCCGCCAACUGGAUGAUGGCAUCAUCUGCUCUAGGGAUUUUCCUCCUCUUCGGAGGCCUCUAGGUCUGCUUCGGCUAUGGAUGAGCUUCUGAGACUGGGUCAUCGAGCAAUAGGUCCAAAGGUAGCUGGUCUGCAUUCAGUCUAUAUAUGUAUGCCCGCAGCUCCUUCACGGACUCCUUGGAGGCCCGUGUCUUCCUAAGCUUCUUAUGCUCUCGAGCAAGCUCCUUCAGAGCCUUGCUGUGUGAAUCGACUGCCUUGGUCAAUGCCUCCUGAGUAGUGAGGAUUUUCUUCUGGUUCUCAAGUAUCUCUUUCAAAGCAUCCUCUAUCGACUGGGGCACCUAUGGGGCUGGAGGAGUGUCACGCCCCGACCCCAAGAGGUGCGACCGGGGCUCAAUCGAGUGAACCCAACUGAGCAAGCCUUAUCAAACACUACCCAUCUAACUCAAUAUGAAUAAGGAAACAAUGCUUUCAUUUAUUUAGACCAGGAAAGAUAGUACAUUCAACAUUUUAGUUCAUUUUAUUUCAUAACAUUAAAUCAUAGUUAAGUGUCAAAGAUUCCAUACAGUUAUAGUUUAAAAGAAAGCAAGAGUACAAGGUUGCAACAUGGUUCAUUGACCUAUCCAAUACCCGUACAUAACCCACACAAACGUCUACAGAGCCUCUAAGGAUACAAAAGACAGUGAUGACAAUGCCGGCAACAAGGCCCCGGCUAUACCUCAAAAUGGAUAUUUGUAACAAAAGGAUGUAGCCACCUACAUUCAUUUAAAAAUGUAGCGCCCCCGACAAAAGGGGCAUUAGUACCAUGGAAUAGUACUACUAUGUAUAACUAAACACCAUCUAGUAAGAAAGAACUAUACAAGCACAGGAAUUCACAAAUAUAACUCAAAACUUCAAACGCUCACCACAUUAUCAAUCAAAAGAAUCGUGCAACUUCCACAUCGUUUUUCCUUAGCUUUUUAGUUUGGGGCAUUCCAUACUCCUCAUCAUUUGUUCACAAUACCACCGCUAUCUUGAGCGGAGUCCGAUCUCAACCCGAUCGGCUAGGUCACCUCAUUUGAGACAUAUACUUCAAUCACAAUCUCAUUUUCCUUCUUUUCCGGAAUUCAUUCACAAUACCACCGCUAUCUUGAGCGGAGUCCGAUCUCGACCCGAUCGGCUAGGCCGUCUUUCCAAGGCAUUGUUCCCAUCGCAUUAAUCACUUCGUUUCACUUAUAUCAUUUCAUAGGCACUUGGUUCCAAAACUUAUCACAUUAUCCUUGGCACUAGGCCACAUUUUUUUUCUUCGUUCCCAUAUUCAACAUUAGCUUUGCCACUUAGGAUAGUAGGUGCACACAAAAGCAGUUUAAAUCAUAAGCAUAGAUAAGACUUCACGUAGAUGACACACCAAUGCAACUUCAAUCUAAAUUUAAGGUCUAAGCAUUCAAUACAUGAUUCAUAUUCCAUAAUUCAUGUUUCACAUUGUUCCCAUUUUCAAUAUUUACUUUUCCACUUAAGAUCAUAGGCGCAUAGGAAGGCAAUUUAAAUCAUAAGCAUAGAGAGGAAUUUGUCAAGUUUGGCAUAUUAGUCCCAAAGUAACCUUGGCAUGACAUUUAGGCAUUAGCACAUAGACCAUGUUCUCCACACAUCCUCCAUAUACAAAGAAUAACACAUUAAAUACAUGAAGAAGUACCUACCACGUACAUUUUCACAAUAAUAAUCCACCCUUAAUCUUAUCGCAUUUACACAAAUACCAACGUAGCUCAAUUUUAAAAGAUGGGCUUUUAGCCAUGCAUACCUCAACCGAGCUUUCCUUAAUCUUACAACGUUCCGGAAUGUUCGCACUUCAAUCUAUUUAAGCAAUAUAGCACAAUUUAACUCAUAAUCAAGAAAAGAUCAUAAUCUAAUCUCUCUUGAGCAUUUUACCGAUCAAUUAGUGUCACACCCCUUUUUUCUACAAACUUCACUAAACCCUCUUAAAUAAAUAAAGUGAUUUAAUAAAGCUCGAAAAGGGUUUUCAAGUGACAAAAUUGUGUUCAAAAGGAAAUAACUCAGAGUCGCCACCUGACUUUGAUUUCGGUGUGCCAGGUUACCGUUUUUUAAAAAUGAUUAUUUCCUUUUAAAACAUUUCAAACUCUAAAACAAAGUCUGCACCAAAGAUUCAGGUAAGGGAAUUCAUUUGACUUGGGGAGAAGGUGUUAGGCACUCCCCAAGUCCCGUAACUAGUACGGUUGCAUACUUGAUCUAGUCGGAUUUUAAAAUAUUUGAAUGGAGGUAAUAACACACAAAAAAAAUAAACAAUCAAAAGAGACUCGAGGUCGUACCCACCUAAAUGAAAGAAAACUAAAAGAAGAAAAAUUAAAGUUCUAAAUUAUCCUACUCUACUUAUUCUACGAUGUUCGCCACGGCGUCCAAUUACAUUCACUUCAGGGCAUACCCCUGAAAUAAAAUAUAUACAAAUCCUUCGGGGCAUUCCCCGGAUAAAUUUAACAAAGGGAACGACCUCUCGCCUCGAAACUAACAAAAUCCUAAGGCUUUCCUACCCGAGUAUGGUCAACCUAAACAUGAUGCUAGCAAUCCAGAUUAAAUAAAUAAAUAAAAAGAAAAUAAACUAUCCCAUGGACAUUCAUUCUUAUAUCCAACUUUCUUUAAUCCGAGCCUAGCUCCCAUGGACUAAUACUUUUUUCACAAUCUGAGCCACCAACCAAUCAUUAACUAGUUAAUUUAACUUUCCGUCACCAAAAUGUUAAUCUUGAAACCUUACAGUAUCUCUUAAUAAUGAAUUACAACAGUAAUUAUAAAUUCAUCUUGGCCAUUACACAUUCAAACACAUAUUAAACUUAAACAACAAGAACAAACGAGAGCAAACCAAUACCAAGACGUCAUUAAAACAGAGCAAUAAGCAAUAUAUCAAAUACUAAGCAUGAUAUUAAGCAGAAUCACACAAUAAACAUUCAUGAAGUAGAGUAAGAAACGGACCUUUAGUCAAGCUUUCCAAAUUAAAAAUUUCCUUCGAGCAGUACACACAAGGGAUGCCAACAGCAAAACAGAACUACAACUACUAAAAUCAGAUCAAAUAAAUCGCAACAGAAACUCGAACAAGACCUAGCGGAACCUCUAACGACUUCGAAUCUCGACAGCGAAGAAGCCCGAACUGCUGUUCGUACUUGAAAGGUUUUAGAGCUAUUUCUGAGGUGUUGUUUCAUUGCGUUUUCAGACUAUUUCGGGGUGGUUUGCGGCUGUCAGCUCCAUGUCCUUUCAACUGUUCGUGCGUUUUUGUGUGUGUCACGGCGCUUCCGGUGAGUUCGUCAGUGGUUCGAUGAGAGGAGGAGUCGAAGGGUGGUUUGGUGGCUGAAAUUCAAGUCAUAAAGGGAAGGGAGUGAGGCUCGCUGUUUUUGGAAUGGGUUGGUCGGUGUUUGGCUGCUGAUAGCUAUGUCGUUUUAGUUAAUCAACCAUGAAAAUGGCUUCUUGAAGAAAAAGAAGAGCAGGGGAGGGUCAGGUCUGUGUUUGGUUGUCAAACGGUGCUGGGUGUCAAGAUGAAGAAGAAGGCAGCCUUGGGCGUCCUUGGUUUUUUUGUGAAUUGUUUUCCUGGAGGCUUUUUAGGGUUCCUAAGGUUGAAGAUGAAGAAGCUUCUACUCUUGUCCAAACCGCUGAACA
RNAcentral lists this long non-coding RNA (5847 nucleotides) under Nicotiana tabacum (common tobacco). RNAcentral's name for it is "long non-coding RNA (NTAB_LNC011761)". The record is from RNAcentral. Lineage: Eukaryota; Viridiplantae; Streptophyta; Magnoliopsida; Solanales; Solanaceae.